UACGUAGGGUGCGAGCGUUAAUCGGAAUUACUGGGCGUAAAGCGUGCGCAGGCGGUUUUCCAAGACAGAUGUGAAAUCCCCGGGCUCAACCUGGGAAUGGCAUUUGUGACUGGAAGGCUAGAGUGUGUCAGAGGGGGGUAGAAUUCCACGUGUAGCAGUGAAAUGCGUAGAGAUGUGGAGGAAUACCGAUGGCGAAGGCAGCCCCCUGGGAUAACACUGACGCUCAUGCACGAAAGCGUGGGGAGCAAACAGG
This 253-nucleotide ribosomal RNA is filed under the name uncultured bacterium. RNAcentral describes it as "partial 16S ribosomal RNA". It matches the Rfam family "Bacterial small subunit ribosomal RNA", at positions 524 to 776 of the family's 1533-position model. The record is from RNAcentral.